UUGAAGAGUUUGAUCAUGGCUCAGAUUGAACGCUGGCGGCAGGCCUAACACAUGCAAGUCGAGCGGUAGCACAGAGAGCUUGCUCUCGGGUGACGAGCGGCGGACGGGUGAGUAAUGUCUGGGAAACUGCCUGAUGGAGGGGGAUAACUACUGGAAACGGUAGCUAAUACCGCAUAACGUCGCAAGACCAAAGUGGGGGACCUUCGGGCCUCAUGCCAUCAGAUGUGCCCAGAUGGGAUUAGCUAGUAGGUGGGGUAACGGCUCACCUAGGCGACGAUCCCUAGCUGGUCUGAGAGGAUGACCAGCCACACUGGAACUGAGACACGGUCCAGACUCCUACGGGAGGCAGCAGUGGGGAAUAUUGCACAAUGGGCGCAAGCCUGAUGCAGCCAUGCCGCGUGUGUGAAGAAGGCCUUCGGGUUGUAAAGCACUUUCAGCGGGGAGGAAGGCGUUAAGGUUAAUAACCUUGGCGAUUGACGUUACCCGCAGAAGAAGCACCGGCUAACUCCGUGCCAGCAGCCGCGGUAAUACGGAGGGUGCAAGCGUUAAUCGGAAUUACUGGGCGUAAAGCGCACGCAGGCGGUCUGUCAAGUCGGAUGUGAAAUCCCCGGGCUCAACCUGGGAACUGCAUUCGAAACUGGCAGGCUAGAGUCUUGUAGAGGGGGGUAGAAUUCCAGGUGUAGCGGUGAAAUGCGUAGAGAUCUGGAGGAAUACCGGUGGCGAAGGCGGCCCCCUGGACAAAGACUGACGCUCAGGUGCGAAAGCGUGGGGAGCAAACAGGAUUAGAUACCCUGGUAGUCCACGCCGUAAACGAUGUCGAUUUGGAGGUUGUGCCCUUGAGGCGUGGCUUCCGGAGCUAACGCGUUAAAUCGACCGCCUGGGGAGUACGGCCGCAAGGUUAAAACUCAAAUGAAUUGACGGGGGCCCGCACAAGCGGUGGAGCAUGUGGUUUAAUUCGAUGCAACGCGAAGAACCUUACCUUGGUCUUGACAUCCACAGAACUUUCCAGAGAUGGAUUGGUGCCUUCGGGAACUGUGAGACAGGUGCUGCAUGGCUGUCGUCAGCUCGUGUUGUGAAAUGUUGGGUUAAGUCCCGCAACGAGCGCAACCCUUAUCCUUUGUUGCCAGCGGUCCGGCCGGGAACUCAAAGGAGACUGCCAGUGAUAAACUGGAGGAAGGUGGGGAUGACGUCAAGUCAUCAUGGCCCUUACGACCAGGGCUACACACGUGCUACAAUGGCAUAUACAAAGAGAAGCGACCUCGCGAGAGCAAGCGGACCUCAUAAAGUAUGUCGUAGUCCGGAUUGGAGUCUGCAACUCGACUCCAUGAAGUCGGAAUCGCUAGUAAUCGUAGAUCAGAAUGCUACGGUGAAUACGUUCCCGGGCCUUGUACACACCGCCCGUCACACCAUGGGAGUGGGUUGCAAAAGAAGUAGGUAGCUUAACCUUCGGGAGGGCGCUUACCACUUUGUGAUUCAUGACUGGGGUGAAGUCGUAACAAGGUAACCGUAGGGGAACCUGCGGUUGGAUCACCUCCUU
Molecule: ribosomal RNA, 1537 nt
Filed under: Klebsiella pneumoniae
Lineage: Bacteria; Pseudomonadati; Pseudomonadota; Gammaproteobacteria; Enterobacterales; Enterobacteriaceae
Description: bacterial SSU rRNA
Rfam family: Bacterial small subunit ribosomal RNA
Source: RNAcentral